AUUGAACGCUGGCGGCAUGCCUUACACAUGCAAGUCGAACGGUAACAGGGAGCUUGCUCCGCUGACGAGUGGCGAACGGGUGAGUAAUGUAUCGGAACGUACCUUUUAGUGGGGGAUAACGUAGCGAAAGUUACGCUAAUACCGCAUAUUCUCUGAGGAGGAAAGCAGGGGACCUUCGGGCCUUGCGCUAAUAGAGCGGCUGAUACCAGAUUAGCUAGUUGGUGAGGUAAAGGCUCACCAAGGCGACGAUCUGUAGCGGGUCUGAGAGGAUGAUCCGCCACACUGGAACUGGGACACGGUCCAGACUCCUACGGGAGGCAGCAGUGGGGAAUUUUGGACAAUGGGGGCAACCCUGAUCCAGCCAUGCCGCGUGAGUGAAGAAGGCCUUCGGGUUGUAAAGCUCUUUCGGCCGGGAAAAAAUCGCAUGGGCUAAUACCCUGUGUGGAUGAUGGUACCGGAAUAAGAAGCACCGGCUAACUACGUGCCAGCCGCCGCUGUAA
RNAcentral lists this ribosomal RNA (500 nucleotides) under uncultured bacterium. Its description in RNAcentral is "partial 16S ribosomal RNA". It matches the Rfam family "Bacterial small subunit ribosomal RNA", at positions 30 to 523 of the family's 1533-position model. The record is from RNAcentral.